UUCAACAGUAGAGUGUAGCACCAAUUACUUGUCUUUCAGUCUUCAAUGGAGAAACUGAGAAAAGCCGUGAAUGAAAUCGCGUAUACUCAACACUAUUCUAAGCUCUCUCAUCUCCAACGCUCUCUAAUCCCCAUCCUCUUCUUCGCCUCGUCUUUCUACUCGGCUGCUCUCUCUCUCCGCCGCGCUCUCUACGAUUCCGGCCUCUUAGCAAAGCACCGGUUGCCGGUGCCGGUGAUCAGUGUUGGUAAUCUGACAUGGGGAGGCAAUGGGAAGACUCCAAUGGUGGAGUUCAUUGCGAAUUAUUUAGCUGAUUCUGGGAUAUCACCUCUCAUUCUUACAAGGGGUUAUGCUGGUGGGGAUGAAGCUAAGAUGCUACAUAGGCAUUUUCUUGGGAGGCCUGUCAAGAUCGGUGUUGGUUCAAAUCGAGCAGCUGUUGCUGCUGGUUAUUUCAAAAGAUAUGGCUAUGUUGAUACUUGCGCUAGUAAACAUUCUGAGAGAUUCUGCCAUUGUGAGAAAGUGGGGAGUCACCUUAGUUCCGAAAAAAUUGGGGCCGUAAUUCUUGAUGAUGGAAUGCAGCACUGGAGCUUGAAGCGAAAUCUGGAGAUUGUUAUGAUUAAUGGAUUAACAUUAUGGGGUAACUGUCACUUAAUCCCACGUGGACCAUUAAGGGAACCUCUCGAUGCACUUAGACAGGCAGAUGUUGUUGUACUCCAUCACGCUGAUUUGGUUUCAGAACAAAAUCUCAAAGAUACUGGCUUAAUGCUGAGAGAAGUUAACAAGUCUGUUCCUGUUUUCUUCACAAAAAUGUAUCCUUGUUAUUUCUUCAACGUGGGAAAUGCCACCUUCAGAAAACCUGUAGGGGAUUUGUUGAACGCUAUUGUAUUAUGUGUUUCUGCCAUUGGUUCUGCGAAAGCAUUUACAAAGGCAAUAGAGAAGAUUGGAGCAUUUUAUGUUGAUCGAAUUGAAUUCAGUGACCACCACAUAUUUCUGACAAAGGAUUUUGAGCUAAUCAAAGGGAGGCUAAGAGAACUGGAUGACAGGUUGUCCAAGCCUGUUGUUAUAGUAACAGAAAAGGAUUAUGAUCGAGACCCAACUAUUUUCAAUCAUUUGGAUCCUUUUGAGGUUCUGGUGCUCUGUUCCAAAUUAAAGAUCAUACCUAACAGAGGAUGCACUGAAGAUAGCUUCAAAAAGUUGUUGAAGGAGGUUUUUGCACAUGAAUAUGUGAACUCAAGUUAAAGGCGUUUAAGUCACAUACCGGCAAAACUAACAAGAAUGCAAAGAAACAUGAUUACUCUCAUGCAAGUCAACCACUCAAUCAGGGACACUUGUGGAAUUAGUAGAAAUGGCACCCGAAGAUGGUCUCAUACUCUAACAGAGAUGGCAAGAUCAUAACUUUUGCCAAAAAGGCUACAUGAAAGUCCCCCUCUAUUUUAUAGAAA
Argentina anserina (silverweed cinquefoil) is the source of this 1439-nucleotide RNA transcript. It is a transcript of the gene named probable tetraacyldisaccharide 4'-kinase, mitochondrial, with no coding region annotated. Lineage: Eukaryota; Viridiplantae; Streptophyta; Magnoliopsida; Rosales; Rosaceae. The record is from RefSeq and is a predicted model, not a curated record. The transcript has 9 exons.